AACGCACGAGACCUGCGGACCUGCGGAAGGAUCAUUACCGAGUUUUCAACUCCCAAACCCCAUGUGAACUUAUACCAUUUACAACCGUUGCUUCGGCGGGUUCUCGCCCCGGGCUUUACACCCCGGAACCAGGCGGCCCGCCGGGGGACCCAAACUCUAGAUUUAUAUUUUAGCAUGUCUGAGUGGAAUCAUUACAAAAUGAAUCAAAACUUUCAGCAACGGAUCUCUAGAUCGGAAGAG
This 240-nucleotide unclassified non-coding RNA is filed under the name soil metagenome. RNAcentral describes it as "partial contains 5.8S ribosomal RNA, internal transcribed spacer 2, and large subunit ribosomal RNA". The record is from RNAcentral.